This 439-nucleotide ribosomal RNA is filed under the name uncultured Candidatus Saccharibacteria bacterium. RNAcentral describes it as "bacterial SSU rRNA". It matches the Rfam family "Bacterial small subunit ribosomal RNA", at positions 96 to 570 of the family's 1533-position model. The record is from RNAcentral. Lineage: Bacteria; Candidatus Saccharimonadota.
CGGCGGACGGCUGAGUAACACGUAGGAACGUACCCCAAAGUGAGGGAUAAGCACCAGAAAUGGUGUCUAAUACCGCAUGUGAUCUAUGGAUUAAAGCUUCGGCGCUUUGGGAACGGCCUGCGUAUGAUUAGUUUGUUGGUGAGGUAAUGGCUCACCAAGACUACGAUCAUUAGCUGGUCUGAGAGGAUGAUCAGCCAGACUGGGACUGAGACACGGCCCAGACUCCUACGGGAGGCAGCAGUAGGGAAUUUUCCACAAUGGGCGAAAGCCUGAUGGAGCAACGCCGCGUGCAGGAUGAACCCCCUCGGGGCGUAAACUGCUUUUAUGUGUGACGAAUAUGACGGUAGCACAUGAAUAAGGAUCGGCUAACUCCGUGCCAGCAGCCGCGGUCAUACGGAGGAUCCAAGCGUUAUCCGGAAUUACUGGGUGUAAAGAGUUC